This 2271-nucleotide long non-coding RNA is filed under the name Homo sapiens (human). Its description in RNAcentral is "HSALNT0184726". Lineage: Eukaryota; Metazoa; Chordata; Mammalia; Primates; Hominidae. The record is from RNAcentral.
GCAAACAUUACUUUAUCCUGAACUCUUAGGCAAAGUCAUGCAGCAGUGAGAUGAAUGGGAGUUUCAUGUUGAACAGUGCAUAUUGUUUUCCGUUCUGUCGGGGCGUCUCUGUGUCUGAUGCAGCAUUGCUUUUCAGGGAGAUGAAGUCCCUGAAAAUGAGACCCAGGUCCCGAGGUGAAGCUCCUUCUCUGGGGUGCUCCGCAGGGAUUCCUAGACGGCUGUCCCCCGCUGCUGAGCCACGCUGAGCUGGCUGCUCUCACUGGAAUCCUGGAACUGGCUCUUCUCUCACAUGGGCACUCCAAGGGCCACCAGCAUCUCCUCCUACACAGGAGCGUCUAAGCAGGCCUGCAAGGCAGCCUGCAGCUUGGCCUCUACCCGUGUGAUGCAGCAAACACACUUGCAAGGCAUGUUCUACUCUUCAAAUGACGGUAUAUAGAACCCGCGGGUACUUAUAAGGUGAAGAUUGACCCUGUGUGAAUGACAAGGAAGUGAUUCCUGAAGUUCCAGAGGGAGGAAGGGAUUUGCUCAAAGUCACCCAGCAGGUGAGUGACAAAGCUGGCCCUUGGACGAGCCUCCUCCUCCCAUGUCUUUCAGCCUCACAGAGGGACAGAGUUUGACUGCGGGACUCAGCCUGAGGCAGGGGACAGAAUCCCUGAGUGUGCUCCUGGCCAGUGGCUUCAUCUCUCAUCUCUCUGUGACUCUGUUUUCUUUAGCUGUCUAUGGAAAGAAUAAGCAUGAGAAGCAUUCAAUUUGAUUCAAACUGAAGCACUGCACCUGCUUUGUGUGAGACACUUUAGCCACCUCAGGGGUACACACACAAAAGCCCACUGUCCCUGCCCUCAAGGAGCCUAUCAUAUAAUGACAGUCACUAAAAUUUGAAGAUCUCUUUACAGUUCACCUUUACUUCUGAUAUGGUUUGGCUCUGUGUGCCCACUCAAAUCUCAUCUUGAAUUGUAAUCCCCACGUGUUGAGGGAGGGACCUGAUGGGAGGUGAUUGGAUUAUGGGGGCGGUUUCCCACAUGUUCUUGUGACAGUGAAGGAGUUCUCACAAGAUCUGAUGGUUUAAAGUGUUUUGCAAUUCCCCCCUCACACUCUCUUUCCUGCCUCCUUGUGAAGAAGGUGCUUGCUUUCCCUUCGCCUUCCGCCAUGAUUGUAAGUUUCCUGAGGGCCUCCCCAACCAGGCAGAGCUGUGACUCAAUUAAAACUGUCUUCUUUGUAAAUUACCCAGUCUCAGGUGUGUCUUUAUAGCAGCAUGAGAACAGACUAAUACACCUUCUCUCACUUUUUCUUCAAAAUGAUAGGCAGUGUUAUUGACGCUGUUUCACAAACGAGGACCUCCGAUGGAAGGAGCUAGGCUACCUGGGAGAAAUGAUAUUCUGCUGGCAUCCCACUACACUUUCUACCUGAGGCAUCGUCCCUAAAACACUAGGACAUCAGGAAAACCUAAUGAUGACUACUGUUUCAUUUAGGGCCCUCUCAGCUGCAAGUACAAAGACAUAGAAACCAAGUAUUGGGUUUUUAGCUGAGAAGCCCAGCAUCAGGCUGGACCACCAUCUGCGCAUCCUGUCUGGGGUUCAUACACAACAAAGACCUGAUUUCUCUCCUGUUCUCCGCUCAGCUUUCAUGGUCUCCUGGAGCUGAGAUCUUCUCAGCCCACAGGUGAUGACAGAAUGGAGAUAGUGGUUCCGGCUUCAAUGCUUCCAGGUUCAAGUCCACGGGGAAGAACCCUGCCUCCCUCUCAGAAGGCUCAGCUCCAGUCCCCUGGGUUCCAGUAGAAGCCCAAGCCCCUCCAGGAACCCCUUACUGUUACUGUGAAGGCGGAAUAUGGCUUUGGUUAAUUGAGGCCAACUCACAGUGCUAGAUCAAUCCCCCUAAACCACAAGGGCGGAGGGUGGGACCAGAUAGGUUAUUAAGGGAAAUUUGGGUACUCUUUUACCCAGAGGGUGAACAGAUGCUAAAUGGCCCAACUAUGCACAUGUGUAGCCAUCCACUGCAACAAUGCGUAGUAGUUGGUUAAUAAAUUUAUUUUCAUUUACCAAUUGAUUUAUCAGCAAAAUGAAUAAAAACUAAGUAGGCUACCUGUAAGAAAAGGUAAUAAAAUAUGUAAAAAUGAAUUAAACACUGUAAUCUGCCUCAAGUGGAUUCAGUGGCUUUGUCUGUGAUUCCCUGAACCUGCUCUCAUUGGAUAAUUUCACCUUAUUAGUAUAUACACCACAACCUCAGAAGGCAACUAUAAGAGCCAGAUGCCUGGACAGCCAUAUGGAAAAAAAU